Molecule: ribosomal RNA, 315 nt
Filed under: uncultured eukaryote
Lineage: Eukaryota
Description: partial 18S ribosomal RNA
Rfam family: Eukaryotic small subunit ribosomal RNA
Source: RNAcentral
CCCUUAGACGUUCUGGGCCGCACGCGCGCUACACUGACCAGUGCAACAAGCAUCCGUCCUUGGCCGACAGGCCCGGGCAAUCUUUGAACGCUGGUCGUGAUGGGGAUAGACUUUUGCAAUUUUUGGUCUUCAACGAGGAAUUCCUAGUAAACGCAAGUCAUCAACUUGCAUUGAUUACGUCCCUGCCCUUUGUACACACCGCCCGUCGCACCUACCGAUCGAAUGGUCCGGUGAAGCCUCCGGAUUGGCGCGCACCUCGGUGCCGCCGAGAAGUUGGCUAAACCUUACCAUUUAGAGGAAGGUGAAGUCGUAACA